Molecule: ribosomal RNA, 253 nt
Filed under: uncultured bacterium
Lineage: Bacteria
Description: partial 16S ribosomal RNA
Rfam family: Bacterial small subunit ribosomal RNA
Source: RNAcentral
GACCGAGGGGCCAAGCGUUAGGCGGAAUCACUGGGCUUAAAGCGUGUGUAGGCGGAUGCCUAAGUAUCUUGUGAAAUCCCACGGCUCAACCGUGGAACUGCUUGAUAUACUGGGUGUCUUGAGCCAUCUAGGGGCUACCGGAACAAAUGGUGGAGCGGUGAAAUGCGUAGAUAUCAGGAGGAACACCUGUGGUGUAGACAGCUUACUGGACCACGACUGACGCUGAGACACGAAAGCGUGGGUAGCAAACAGG